ACACUGCUGAGGAGUCCCACAAUAGGACGAAACGGCCGUCCAAUUU
This 46-nucleotide non-coding RNA is filed under the name Schistosoma curassoni. Lineage: Eukaryota; Metazoa; Platyhelminthes; Trematoda; Strigeidida; Schistosomatidae. The record is from RNAcentral.